GAAGUAAAAGUCGUAACAAGGUUUCCGUAGGUGAACCUGCGGAAGGAUCAUUACAGAGUUCCUGCCCUUACGGGUAGAAACCCCACCCGUGUAUAUUAUAUCUUUGUUGCUUUGGCAGGCCGCCUUCGGGCACCGGCACAUGCUGGAUCGUGCCUGCCAGAGGACCCCAAAUUCUGAAUGUUAGUGUCGUCUGAGUACUAUAUAAUAGUUAAAACUUUCAACAACGGAUCUCUUGGUUCUGGCAUCGAUGAAGAACGCAGCGAAAUGCGAUAAGUAAUGUGAAUUGCAGAAUUUAGUGAAUCAUCGAAUCUUUGAACGCACAUUGCGCCCCUUGGUAUUCCGAGGGGCAUGCCUGUUCGAGCGUCAUUUAAACCAAUCCAGCUUGCUGGGUGUUGGGCUUUCGCCUCUGGGCGGGUCUUAAAAUCAGCGGCGGUGCUGCCAGGCUCUAAGCGUAGUAAUUCUUCUCGCUACAGGGUCCUGGUGGAGGCUUGCCAACAACCCCAAAUUUUCAAAGGUUGACCUCGGAUCAGGUAGGGAUACCCGCUGAACUUAAGCA
This 556-nucleotide ribosomal RNA is filed under the name fungal sp. SF(I)5B-9. Its description in RNAcentral is "eukaryotic LSU rRNA". The stretch from base 213 to 366 matches the Rfam family "5.8S ribosomal RNA". The record is from RNAcentral. Lineage: Eukaryota; Fungi.